This 45-nucleotide non-coding RNA is filed under the name Schistosoma mansoni. Lineage: Eukaryota; Metazoa; Platyhelminthes; Trematoda; Strigeidida; Schistosomatidae. The record is from RNAcentral.
AUACAACUGACGAGUCUCAAAUAGGACGAAACGCGUUUCCUGGAU